RNAcentral lists this ribosomal RNA (253 nucleotides) under uncultured bacterium. RNAcentral's name for it is "partial 16S ribosomal RNA". It matches the Rfam family "Bacterial small subunit ribosomal RNA", at positions 524 to 776 of the family's 1533-position model. The record is from RNAcentral.
UACGUAGGGUGCGAGCGUUAAUCGGAAUUACUGGGCGUAAAGCGUGCGCAGGCGGUUUUGUAAGCCAGAUGUGAAAGCCCCGGGCUUAACCUGGGAAUGGCAUUUGGGACUGCAAGGCUUGAGUGCGGCAGAGGAGACUGGAAUUCCUGGUGUAGCAGUGAAAUGCGUAGAUAUCAGGAGGAAUACCGAUGGCGAAGGCAGGUCUCCGGGCUGACACUGACGCUCAUGCACGAAAGCGUGGGGAGCAAACAGG